UUUUCCUUCUUUAUUCCGUGAAGGUAACUAGUAUAUUUUCUGUGGUUCUUGCAGAUAUUACUUCUUUGCCUGUGCUAUGCAUCUGUGUCAUUUGUUCUCUUGGUUUCCAGUUCUUUGCCUGUAAAAUGCAUGCCUAAGGCUUCCUCUGCUGUGCAAUUCCUAAUAAUAAAAUUUUGAUGAAGGUUUUGAGCACUAGCUGAAUUUUGUGGUGACAAUUGUCUUUCUUAGUUAUAAUUUCUGCAUUAACAUCCUUUCUAUUUUGUCAGUUAUUAGAAGGGCUCCUCAUGA
Molecule: unclassified non-coding RNA, 288 nt
Filed under: Hevea brasiliensis (rubber tree)
Lineage: Eukaryota; Viridiplantae; Streptophyta; Magnoliopsida; Malpighiales; Euphorbiaceae
Source: RNAcentral